Non-coding RNA from Pogona vitticeps (central bearded dragon), 736 nucleotides. The record is from RefSeq and is a predicted model, not a curated record. Lineage: Eukaryota; Metazoa; Chordata; Lepidosauria; Squamata; Agamidae.
CAGCAACUCUCUGUGCCAAACCCUGGAAAUUCCUGGAAGAAGUCAAUGUUAUGUCUUGUGGGAAACAGACACAUAACAGCAUCCUGAAGAUUCUGGAAAACCUCAAGAACACUGAGUCAAAAGAAGAACGAUUAGGGCGCUUGAAAAAGAGGGGGAAAGACCUUCGUUGAAGCAUAACGGAAACCACUACAUAUCCUGCUAUCAACAAAAUACUUGUCAGAACACAGCACACCACUUUGCAAUGUGCCAUCAAUGUUUUAGUAGCUCCCUUCUGACAGCCAUGAGAAGCCAAUGAAAAAUUGAUGGGACAAUAUGGUCUGUAAGUAUGCAUAAUUAAAUGAUUCUAUUCUAUGAAUUUCCCAUUAGUUACCAAACAUGUGUCAACUUCAAUAGAUGGAACAAGUGACUAAUAGCCAUAAUAAACUGCUAGAUUUGGAUAAAUUUGAAAAAUCUAAAGUGACUGGAGCUUGGCAUUGUGAAUAACUCUCUUUUUAAAGCCCACCAUUUUUAAAAAUGCCUUACACUAGCACUCAGACUUAAAACAUUAAUCAGCAAAUCAACAUGAUGGUGAUGCUUACAUAAAAAUAUGCAAUGCUGAUGUGUGAACAAAUAAACAGACCCUUUCCACGGUACAAUAUAAUUCAAACAAAGACAAAAUUAAAGCUCACAAUACAAAUUACCACAAUAAAAAUGAAUCCUAAAUAACAAUCAUAUGAUGAAACAAAACAAACCCCAG